UGGGGAAUAUUGCACAGUGGGCGAAAGCCUGAUGCAGCAACGCCGCGUGAGUGAUGAAGGCCUUCGGGUUGUAAAGCUCUGUCUUCUGGGACGAUAAUGACGGUACCAGAGGAGGAAGCCACGGCUAACUACGUGCCAGCAGCCGCGGUAAUACGUAGGUGGCAAGCGUUGUCCGGAUUUACUGGGCGUAAAGGAUGCGUAGGCGGAUACUUAAGUCAGAUGUGAAAAUCCCGGGCUUAACUUGGGAACUGCAUUUGAAACUGGGUAUCUAGAGUGCGGGAGAGGAAAGUGGAAUUCCUAGUGUAGCGGUGAAAUGCGUAGAGAUUAGGAAGAACACCAGUGGCGAAGGCGACUUUCUGGACCGUAACUGACGCUGAGGCAUGAAAGCGUGGGGAGCAAACA
Molecule: ribosomal RNA, 402 nt
Filed under: uncultured bacterium
Lineage: Bacteria
Description: bacterial SSU rRNA
Rfam family: Bacterial small subunit ribosomal RNA
Source: RNAcentral